CCCUUAGAUGUUCUGGGCCGCACGCGCGCUACACUGACGAAUGCAACGAGCUUAUAACCUUGGCCGAAAGGUCUGGGUAAUCUCCAAAUUUCGUCGUGAUGGGGAUAGAUUAUUGCAAUUAUUAAUCUUCAACGAGGAAUGCCUAGUAAACGCAAGUCAUCAACUUGCAUUGAUUACGUCCCUGCCCUUUGUACACACCGCCCGUCGCACCUACCGAUUGAAUGGUCCGGUGAAGCCUCCGGAUUGGCGCGCACCUCGGUGCCGCCGAGAAGUUGGCUAAACCUUACCAUUUAGAGGAAGGUGAANUCGUAACA
RNAcentral lists this ribosomal RNA (314 nucleotides) under uncultured eukaryote. RNAcentral describes it as "partial 18S ribosomal RNA". It matches the Rfam family "Eukaryotic small subunit ribosomal RNA", at positions 1470 to 1796 of the family's 1831-position model. The record is from RNAcentral.